GCCCAGUUAGCUCAGUUGGUAGAGCACUUCCAUGGUAAGGAAGGGGUCAUCGGUUCGAGUCCGAUACUGGGCU
This 73-nucleotide transfer RNA is filed under the name Thermoleophilaceae bacterium. Its description in RNAcentral is "tRNA-Thr". It matches the Rfam family "tRNA". From Rfam's summary of the family: Transfer RNA (tRNA) molecules are approximately 80 nucleotides in length. Lineage: Bacteria; Bacillati; Actinomycetota; Thermoleophilia; Thermoleophilales; Thermoleophilaceae. RNAcentral also lists the same sequence under 1 other name. The record is from RNAcentral.